AUUGAACGCUGGCGGCAUGCCUUACACAUGCAAGUCGAACGGUAACAGGUCUUCGGAUGCUGACGAGUGGCGAACGGGUGAGUAAUACAUCGGAACGUGCCUAGUAGUGGGGGAUAACUACUCGAAAGAGUGGCUAAUACCGCAUGAGAUCUACGGAUGGAAGCAGGGGAUCGCAAGACCUUGUGCUACUAGAGCGGCCGGUGGCAGAUUAGGUAGUUGGUGGGAUAAAAGCUUACCAAGCCGACGAUCUGUAGCUGGUCUGAGAGGACGAUCAGACACACUGGGACUGAGACACGGCCCAGACUCCUACGGGAGGCAGCAGUGGGGAAUUUUGGACAAUGGGCGAAAGCCUGAUCCAGCAAUGCCGCGUGCAGGAUGAAGGCCUUCGGGUUGUAAACUGCUUUUGUACGGAACGAAAAGCCCCGGGUUAAUACCCUGGGGUCAUGACGGUACCGUAAGAAUAAGCACCGGCUAACUACGUGCCAGCCGCCGCGGUAA
This 498-nucleotide ribosomal RNA is filed under the name uncultured bacterium. Its description in RNAcentral is "partial 16S ribosomal RNA". It matches the Rfam family "Bacterial small subunit ribosomal RNA", at positions 30 to 523 of the family's 1533-position model. The record is from RNAcentral.